RNAcentral lists this small RNA (133 nucleotides) under Salmonella enterica subsp. enterica serovar Enteritidis. Its description in RNAcentral is "RtT sRNA". It matches the Rfam family "RtT RNA". From Rfam's summary of the family: This family represents a bacterial cis-regulatory element known as RtT RNA. The exact function of RtT is unknown although it is thought that it may be involved in changing the cellular response in relation to amino acid starvation. Lineage: Bacteria; Pseudomonadati; Pseudomonadota; Gammaproteobacteria; Enterobacterales; Enterobacteriaceae. The record is from RNAcentral.
AACACGCUCUCCACGCUAAGGCUCCUCCUCGUGGGCUCCGAGUCGCGUAUACCCCACAGCGAGAAAGCGUUGCCGCAGGCAACGACCCGAAGGGCGAAGCGCGCAGCGCUGAGUCAUCCUUCCCCCACCACCA